UACGACCAUAUAAUGUUCAAACAUCGGUUCCCGUACGAACACCGAAGUUAAGCAACGUUAAGUCUACUCAGUACCUGGAUGGGUGACUGCC
Molecule: non-coding RNA, 91 nt
Organism: Acanthosepion pharaonis
Lineage: Eukaryota; Metazoa; Mollusca; Cephalopoda; Sepiida; Sepiidae
Source: the annotation of a GenBank genome assembly